GACGAACGCUGGCGGCGUGCCUAAUACAUGCAAGUAGAACGCUGAAGAGAGGAGCUUGCUCUUCUUGGAAGAGUUGCGAACGGGUGAGUAACGCGUAGGUAACCUGCCUUGUAGCGGGGGAUAACUAUUGGAAACGAUAGCUAAUACCGCAUAACAAUGGGUGACCCAUGUCAUUCAUUUAAAAGGGGCAACUGCUCCACUACAAGAUGGACCUGCGUUGUAUUAGCUAGUAGGUGAGGUAACGGCUCACCUAGGCGACGAUACAUAGCCGACCUGAGAGGGUGAUCGGCCACACUGGGACUGAGACACGGCCCAGACUCCUACGGGAGGCAGCAGUAGGGAAUCUUCGGCAAUGGGGGCAACCCUGACCGAGCAACGCCGCGUGAGUGAAGAAGGUUUUCGGAUCGUAAAGCUCUGUUGUAAGUCAAGAACGAGUGUGAGAGUGGAAAGUUCACACUGUGACGGUAGCUUACCAGAAAGGGACGGCUAACUACGUGCCAGCAGCCGCGGUAAUACGUAGGUCCCGAGCGUUGUCCGGAUUUAUUGGGCGUAAAGCGAGCGCAGGCGGUUUGAUAAGUCUGAAGUUAAAGGCUGUGGCUCAACCAUAGUUUGCUUUGGAAACUGUCAAACUUGAGUGCAGAAGGGGAGAGUGGAAUUCCAUGUGUAGCGGUGAAAUGCAUAGAUAUAUGGAGGAACACCGGUGGCGAAAGCGGCUCUCUGGUCUGUAACUGACGCUGAGGCUCGAAAGCGUGGGGAGCGAACAGG
RNAcentral lists this ribosomal RNA (765 nucleotides) under uncultured Streptococcus sp. RNAcentral's name for it is "bacterial SSU rRNA". It matches the Rfam family "Bacterial small subunit ribosomal RNA", at positions 28 to 776 of the family's 1533-position model. Lineage: Bacteria; Bacillati; Bacillota; Bacilli; Lactobacillales; Streptococcaceae. The record is from RNAcentral.